GUUCCCUAUCUUUGCAGUUGUAAAUUGUGCUGCAGUAAACAUACGAGUACAGGUGUCUUUUUGAUAUAAUGACUUUUUUUCUUUUCGGGAGACAAGACACAAUGGUAGGUCAAUUUUCAGUUCCUUGAAGAAUCUCUAUUCCAUAGAGUUUGUUCUAAUUCACAUUCCCACUUAACAUUGUAUAAACAUUCAUUUGUGUCAACAUCUAUUGUUUUCUGACUUUUCAUAAUGGCCAUUCUGACAGGGUAAGGUGGUAUCUCACUGUGGUUUUAAUUUUCGACUCUGUGAUGUUAAGCAUUUUCUCCUGUUUGUUAGCCAUUUGUGUAUCUUCUUUUGAAAAAUGUCUGUUCAAGUCUUUUGCUCACUUUUUAAUGAGGUUGUUUGUUUUUUGCUGUAAUAGUUUGAGUUCCUUAUAGAUUCUGGAUAUUAGUCCUUUGUCAGAUGUAGUUUGCAAAUGCUUUCUUCCAUUCUGUAGAUUGUCUUUUUACUCUGUUGAUUAUUUCUUUUGCUGCACAGAAGCUUUUUAGUUGAAGUCCCAUAUGUAUUUUUUAUUGUUUUUCAAAUCAAUGAAAAUAAUCUCAAUAGGGUUAUAGGACUUAGCCCACCGCUUGCACGCAGUACUCAAAAAUGAGUUCUGCUUUCCUUAGUUGUAUUUAAUGCACCUGGUCCCCUUGUUGCUCACCUUGAAGUCAUUUCUCUGCCCUCACUUAUGACCCCCAACUAUCUUUAGCAUUUGGGUGUAUUUCUUUCCAAUUUUUCUAAGUUUUAAGAAUAUAUAAUUGAAACAUACUGCAUGUUCUUUUUUCACUUGCUAUUUUUAAGUAUUUUCCUGUGAAAAUUAACUAUGAUUUUUGAUAACUGCUAGAAAGUCCAUUUUACAGAUACCAACAUUCCCUUGGCCAUUUUCCCAUAAUUAAGGCAUAUUAGGCUCAUGUGCUUACACAUAAAUCCUUGUUCACAUUCCUGAUUAUUCCUCUAUCAUAGGCUUCUAAAAAUGGGAUGACGAGGGUAAGCACUUAAAAAGAAAUGAGAGGCUCGGCGCCUGUGGCUCAAGCAGCUAAGGUGCCAGCCACAUAUACCUGAGCUGAUGGGUUCAAAUCCAGCCUAGGCCCGCAAAACACCAACGAUGGCCGUAAUAAAAAAAAAAAAAAAAGAAAAAGAAAAUAGCCAGGUGUUGGGAGGUGGAGGCGGGAGAAUCGCUUGAGCCCAGGAGUUGGAGGUUGCUGUGAGCUGUGAUGCCACGGCACUCUACCCAGGGUGACAGCUUGAGGCUCUGUCUAAAAAAAAAGGAAUAAAAGAAAAAGAAAUGAGAAUACUAGUUUCUCGUUAAGAAGUGGAAGCGAUACUGCUGUUUUCUCACCAGCAGAGUACUAACUUUUCACGUCCCAUUGACAUUAUGACAAAAAACAAUAUGGCUUUAUGAAUCUGAUUCCUUUUUUGUACAUUUUACAAGUAGUAUCGUUUUCUUCAUCCUAAAAAUCAAUGAUCUAAUUAUUUAUAGUGUUAUACACUGUUCAGAGAAUGAUAUAGAUCCGAUGCCUGAGUUUCAAAAGUUUACAGUCUAAAGAAGACACACUGAUGUGAAGAUUCACCAAAUCAGACCAGAACUAUGACAACUGUGCCGUGGAUGGACCUCCAAAUGUGUGCAGGGCAGUCAAAUUCAGAGUAUCAGGACCAAGAGCAUAAUAACAAAUGACUGCUCUCAGCAAGGUGCCGUUCCCCUCCAGCUGGACCUUCUCCUCCCACCUCUGAUGCUGCUGUCCCACAACAAGGAAGCCCAUCCAGAUUCCAGGAACAAACCCCUUGUCUGAUUCAUUCCCACUGAGGAUGUUAAUUAUUCAUGCUGCAUGAUUGAGGAUUUUGGAGUCAGAGAUUCACCUGCAAUAUUUGGAACGCCAGUGGAGGUCUGCAUCAACGCGGAAUUUAUACAGCAGCUGGUGUUAGUCAAAG
Nycticebus coucang (slow loris) is the source of this 1950-nucleotide long non-coding RNA. RefSeq lists it as uncharacterized. The record is from RefSeq and is a predicted model, not a curated record. Lineage: Eukaryota; Metazoa; Chordata; Mammalia; Primates; Lorisidae. The transcript is spliced from 4 exons.